GUGGUGGCUUCGCGAUGCGGCUGCGGGCGGCCGCUCCUGCACAGCCGGGACGCGGCCCCUCUUCCGGUGGCCCGUACACGUCCGCACCUCCGCCGCGCUGACCGCCCCCCUGCCCCCGGGAAGCCGGGAGAGAGGCGCCAGCUGGCGACGGGCCCCGCACCCCAGGAGCGCCCCGAGGCCCCGACAGGUCUGUGGGUUAGAAGUCCGUCGUGGGCUUCAGUGGGCUAAAAUCGAGGUCUCGGCAAGCCGGCCAUGCUUCCUGCAGGCUCUAGAGGACCAUCUGUGUCUUUGUCCUCUGCAAGCUCCUAGAGGCGCCCACAUUCCUUGGCUGGUGGCUUCUUCCUCCAUCUUCAAAGUCAGCAACCUUCUUCCAAAGUCACAGCUCCCUCUGCGUCUCCCCCGUCCCCCUCUUCCACUUGUAAGGUCCCUUGUGAUCACAUUGCACCUACUCAGAUAAUCCCCGGGGGGUUUCCCUAUCUUAAGGUCAGCUGAUUGGCAACCUUAGUUCCAUCUCCAAUCUUGAUUGCCUUUUGCCAUGUAACACAGUGGAUUCACCGGCUCCCGGGAACAGGACAAGGAUGUCGUCGGGGGGCUGCCAUUCUGCCCACCACGGUCCCUAUGAACUAUAUUGUGACAGGAAGCCAGAGAGUAACCGUGGUCCUGAGACAGGACAGGGAAGGUCUGCUGCUUGGACGCUCUGCAGGCACGGACAGGAGGAGAAAGCCAUGGCCAGUCAGCCGUUACACGCCACAGUGCCAGAGGCUGUGUGGAUCUGCUGCAGUGGAGACGCCACUUCCAGCCUGGCAGCCCUGAUUGCUUCUGCUGCCUGUAGCCUGGUGUUUCUCUGACUACACAAACUGAGCAAUAUCCCGUAGACUGCCCUGCAUCUCGCCCCGGGUCAAGGCCUCCUGACCGCCACCCUGCCUGCUGCCUAUCGCGAUACCAUCUUACCUCUGAGAGUUAAGUGCUGCUGCUUAGCCUCUUCUGUUCUGGAAUCCCGUCACCCCAUUGAUGUUAGGGCAGUGAAUCUGGCCUCCCCAGUACCAGCCCAGCCUCCAGAGGAGAGCCACCACUGAGCUCACGGGUGUGUUUUUUCAUUGUUUUGA
Molecule: long non-coding RNA, 1106 nt
Organism: Eubalaena glacialis (North Atlantic right whale)
Lineage: Eukaryota; Metazoa; Chordata; Mammalia; Artiodactyla; Balaenidae
Exons: 3
Source: RefSeq, a predicted model, not a curated record